This 329-nucleotide ribosomal RNA is filed under the name uncultured eukaryote. RNAcentral describes it as "partial 18S ribosomal RNA". It matches the Rfam family "Eukaryotic small subunit ribosomal RNA", at positions 1470 to 1796 of the family's 1831-position model. The record is from RNAcentral.
CCCUUAGAUGUUCUGGGCCGCACGCGCGCUACACUGAUGCAUUCAACGAGUCUAAAACCUGCUCUGAUAGGGGUGGGCAAUCUUUUGAAUGUGCAUCGUGAUUGGGAUAGAUGAUUGCAAUUUUUCGUCUUCAACGAGGAAUGCCUAGUAAACGCAAGUCAUCAGCUUGCAUUGAUUACGUCCCUGCCCUUUGUACACACCGCCCGUCGCUCCUACCGAUUGAAUGAUCCGAUGAAUAUCAUGGAUUGAGGAUGCAAGCAGGUUCGCCUGUCUUCAUCUUCGAGAAGUGAAGUAAAUCUUAUCAUUUAGAGGAAGGAGAAGUCGUAACA